This 8297-nucleotide long non-coding RNA is filed under the name Triticum aestivum (bread wheat). RNAcentral's name for it is "long non-coding RNA (TAES_LNC028621)". Lineage: Eukaryota; Viridiplantae; Streptophyta; Magnoliopsida; Poales; Poaceae. The record is from RNAcentral.
UUUCUUUUUCUUUUGAUUUAUUUGGUUUUUGCUCUGUUUUUCUUUUUGGAGUGGUUCGGUGGCCUUGCCACCUGGAAAUCAUCCUCGUUCCCCCUCCCAAGUGGCUCAUCAUUCUCAAAACCUUGCCAAAGAUCAUGUCACUUCACUCCUUGACCAAACCCUAAAAUUCUUUUCUAGGGAAUAUUCCUUUUUCUAUUAAAGGAAUAACCCUAUCUGCCCUAGGUUGUGAAGCAACCUAUAUUUCUUUCCAUCCAAAAAUUCCCAAUUAAUUCUCAUAAUUCCUUUGGGUCAUAUGUUGAUCAAAUAUGCCCAAACUUUCCUGUCCUAGCCCAAGAAUAAUUCCCCAAUAAUUAUUCUUCAUUUCUGUUCUGAAUGGCACUUUGUGAAGUAAGUGUCAUUUAUAUUUUCCUAGUUGCUCCCAAACUCCCUGGGCAUUAUUUUAUGUCCAAAUAAUUGCCUCAUGCACAAGUUCAACUUUAUUUUCCUAGCCAAUCUUCCUCAGUGAUUUUUCAAAGUUUUUGUCAGACAGAAGGCUUUGUGAAGGAAGUACUAGAUAGGAGUAUCCAAAUGAGUUGAACUUUUGCACACUCCUUCAUGUGCUCAUAUUAACCCCCUCCACCAAUUUUCAGCCUCAUCCAAUCAUCUAUGUGAGCACAGGAGCAAAUCUUUGAUUCUGGCAAUAUUUCCAGGUUGUGAAGCAAGUGUAUUUUAUAUUGUUUCAAAAAGCCUGAUAAAUUACCAGAUCAUUCUUAUACCCAUAAAACAUCUCUCCACCCAAUUUGGCAUCAUUUAAAUGAUCCAUUUGAUCACCAAAAUUAUUCCAAGUUUCUGGACAGAAAUGAUGUUUGUGAAGCAACUACCAUUUGGCUUGUCCAUUUGGUAUGAGCUUUUUACAGCAUCUUUAUAUGUCCAUAUCAUGAGGAUUUGCCAAGUUGCAUCCCAUUCCAUAACACCAUGUGAGUCCAUCAUCCAAAUCUUGAUUUUGGACCAAUUUUGGGGUUACACAGCAACUAUAUUAGUUUGUGCUCCAUUGUCUCCAGGAUCAUAGUCCUUCCGUAACUAAUCACCCCAGACAACUCCAUUGACCACAAUCACUCCCCUGUUGAUCACUAGUGCACGGCCAAGUUUACCGCAGUAAACUUCAGACGACGACUACCAUUUAACCACUGCGUAUUUAACCAAGUUACCACAUCAGUUGCAACCUACCCAGGAAGGACUCCACCCCAGACAUAAUUUGGCUUAGCUUGUGGCACUAUGUGCACAUCGCACGCGGUGACCACCGUUUUGGCAUGCCAUGAGCGUGUCCAGAACGCCGUUUUGCUCGGUUCCCUCCUCUGCGCGUCGUCUUCGCGCUCAUGAGCAUGUCUAACAGUUUUACCGCGUCGUCGCCGUCCUCCUGGAGCCAUCUUGCCCGUCCGUAAGCCCUCCGUCAGCGCUCGUCGCCGCGCGCCCACGGGCGAGCUGUAGCUGACCGGCUCUGUUCGCGUCGCGGCCUCUUCCUCCUCUUGUCCCCGAGCUCUGCUCGUCCCUGUGCACAUCUGUAGCUCGUCCGCACCUCCCUCGUCGCCUUCUCGUGCCACCCCGUGCUCGCUGGCCGUCGCCAGAGCGUUGGCCGGAUCCCCGCGGCGACACCCGAGCCCGUGCCUCUCGCCCCGGCUAUAUAUAGCCCUUCCCCGAGUCAUUCGACCUCACCACUCGCCUCCCCUCACUCCUCUACCCCGCCCCAGCCUCUCAAACGAGCUCCAGAAGCCCUCUUCGCCUCUGUUGGCCGCCAUGGUCGCCGCCCCUGCCCUCCUAAAUCCGAGCAAGGCCGAGCCCCAUUCUCUUUUCCACCACCACCAGUAGCCUCCCCAAGUCCCCUGGAGCCGCCCCAACGCUUCUCCUCCUCCUCUGGUGGCUGUUGGCCGCGAACCCCGUCGGUGCCCGUCACCACCGUCCGCCAUGUCCUCGCUCCCUCUCGCCUAGGUUUUUCCCGGAGCCCGUGCUCUCCGCAGACGGGUGCGGCUACUCCUGCUGAGCUCGCCCAUAGGUCGAGCGAGGCGGGGGAUGGCCGGAGCCGGCCGGUCGAGCCCCCGCGCCGGCGACCUCCCUCUGCUCCGCGGGCGCGUCGGGAGAAGAAGGAGAGGCCAGGAGGAGGGCGUUGACAUCGCGUGGGUCCCGCAGGCCCCACACGUCAGCCUUUGGACGUUGACCCCGCCCCGCCAAGUCAGAUAAGUGGAGACGUAUUAACUAGAAUACGUUUUCUAUUUCUGAAAGCGUAUUUCCAUUCUUCUUCAGCCCCGAAUGCGUUUUGAGUUCAGUGAAAGCAUAUUUCGCUGAUUACGCUUUCUAUUUUUCUGUCCAGGCCCAGAUUGUGAAGUUUUUCUUUACAAAGAGGUCCCUGGCAGAAAAACUAUCACAACUUUUUACCCGUAGCUCCAAAUCAGGUGAAUCCAAAGCCCACUUCUUCAUUUCGUCGAGCCCGUUCUGAUGGAUCCAUUUUCACCAUGUUUUAAAAUUCUAAAAAUGAUCAUUUUGCCCCUGCCCUUAUUCAGCCCCUCCGAGAGAGUACGUUUUCCGGCGAUUCUUUCCGCGAGUUUCUCACACUUUCUCCCGGUGAUUUCUUCCACCCCAGGCAAGCCACACCCUCCAUUUGCAUCACUAUAAUGCAGUGACAUGGUUUAAUCUAGUCGAACUUGUUUAAAAUAUUGCUUUAGCUACAUGACUUUGUGCAUGGCAUUUUCUCAGAGUAUUAUUUUGAUCUUGCUGUGCCAUGCUAUUGUUUGGAUUACUAAGAGUUGUGCUUGCAGUUGAUGAGUAUCAUGCUGUCACUGGAGUAUUAGUGGCUGGUAUUAUGAUUUUUUCUUUUAUGAUGAUAUAUGUAUUAUAUUUUUGGAGUACUUUGGAUGUCAUGGUGCCUUUGGAUUAUUAGUUGUUAGUAUGAUUAUUUUCAUGAUGCUAGUUGAUGCUCUGUUACUGUUGCUUGGAGUAUUAUUUUCGGAGAUGAUGUUUACAUGUGGAUUUUAGCUGGAUAGCUUUAUCCUUGUUAUUGGAGUAGUAGGAUUAUUGUUUUCGGAUUCAUCAUGAUAGUAGUGUUGUGCUACCCUUGGAGUAUUUUGAGAUGAUGAUAUUAUGCUUUAGAUUAUUUGUUGGAUAUUGUAUGACUUGGAUUGCAGUUUGAUAGUUGAUAUCGGAGUAUCAGGGACCACAGUUAUAUUUUGGGGGGUAGAUUCCGUCAUUAAGUUGGUCUGGUGCCACCAAACCAGGCUUUCUCCAGUGCAACCACAUUUGCCUUUAUGGGAAGGCCCUAAUGCGAUGCUAUUGUCGUGCCUCUCACCGGGGCCUCCAAUGAGGGAAGGUUAUGGGCGCGCGCCACCCUGAUCAGGUAGGCGGACAUAAGCCUCGUGCGCCCGUAGUUGGAUUUUGCGCGCUUUUGUCCCCCUUUGGGACCGUUUUCGUUUACCACGACGGUGGCCGUUUUGCUACGAUGAUGGCCGUUGGUGCCUUUGGUAGGCACGGGGCCACCCAGGACUGAACCCAAAGGGGGUGUUGGUCGAAGUGGCCGGGAGAGUGUCAUGGCAGUAGAUCGGUUUUGUCGGAAUGCCGUUGGUCCACCCGAAUGGCAGUGUGAGGCCAUGGGUUCCGUGGUGUGGGUACAGUGCGCUACCUCUGCAGAGUGUGUGUUUAAGCUAUCGAUUGCCGCGUCCGUACUAUGUCAUACCGUUCGAUCAACACUCACGUGAAGGAAUGACUUAUAGCUGAUUCAUAUGAUAUAUGCGAGCAGUAACAGUUUGGCAGGAUGUUGAUGAUGAUGUUGAGAUGAUCUUGAGGAUGAUCAUUCAGUUUGUGAUGUGGUCACGAGGUGACCAUGUGGAUAUGUUGGUCACGAGGUGACCAUGUGGAUAUUUUGAUCACGAGGUGAUCAUGUGGACCACGAGGUGGUCGAGAUGGUACUUGCUUGGCCGGUUAGCCAAGAAUGAGAUUUGUUGUUGGUAUUGAGAUGUUGGUUUAUCAGUAUUGUAGUAGUUUCAUGUCAUGCUUAGUAGUUGUUGUUGUAUCAUGGUAUUUGUUAAUUUAAUUAACCUGCUUAAUGCUAUGUUGUUGUCUUGCCUUGAUGUUUUUGGUUGUUGUGAGCUUGCAAGUACAUUCAAUGUACUGACCUGGCGUGUCAUGCCAGAUUGCAGGUGAUGCCGUGGUUGCUUGAUUGCUUGUCGUGUUUCCGUUCGUGCGAGCUAGAUCGUGUCCCAGCCAGAGUCCCUGCGGAGUGGAGUUCACCACCUUCGCCGUUGUUCCACUACUAGAAGAUUUCCGCUGCUACGGGUUGUUCUGCUGCUAGCAUAGAGCAAGUGUAGUAUCGCAGGCGUAGUGUCGCCGUGCUGAUGUGAACCUUUGUAACAUCAGAACAUUGUAUUUAUCCUUUGUAAUAAGAGCUGAUUUGUUCUAUCUCAAGCAGUGCCGUAUUCCAGAAGACUUCAUCUCGAUCUCUGGGCUGGAAUACGGGGCGUUCCGGUUUCUCUGAGCCGGGGUGCCACAGGCUUGGUAUUAGAGCAGGUCUGGCUAUAGGACGCCCUAGUCAGCUGGAGCGAUAGAAACCGGUAGAAAUUGGUAGUUUAAAGUCCGGCUUGUUUAUUGCAUUUGGUUGCUGCAUUUGUUUGUUGCCUAGCAUGCAUAUAGCCUUAUUAUUUGUUGCUAACGGUUUAUCUGGUGAGCGUAGCUGGCUUCGGUUUGGAUCCACUACAGCUCAGCCCUUGCAUUUCUCCAGUUUUCGUUUCUUGCUCGUUCUUCGGCGUUUGCUAUCAUUUCUGUCCCAGCAGAGUGAUGCCAAGUGAUCCCGACACUGUUUGCAAAAAUGGUGCUCAGGUAUCGCGCCGAUGUCUUUCUUUCAACCCCACCUAUCGUUUCGGUGAUGGACAUGCUUUUAUCCCGAAUCGCUCUUUCAUUUGGUCGUGUUGGCAACCCUUAAUGAUCUUAGUUAUCAAGAAAGGGCAAUGUCAGCAGCCUCAGUUUUUCCCUGCUAUCCUAUUUCUUGGACGAGUACGACUCUUUUCCGUCCACUUGAUAAUAAUUUGGUUGCGACCCUCGUGUCCCACUACAUGAUUGCCGAGUGCAUCCUCGCCUCCGAGCUAGUCCAGGUUGCUACCUGGCUAAGCUAGCACUUGGUGUAGCGCUGUUUACACCAAUUCUUCCACACAUUUAUUCGUCCUCGUGCACAUCGUCACAGCAUGCUAGAUCGUAGUACCGGAGAUUCCGUGAAAUUUGUGUGCUUAAGUAGGCAUGCAUAUUGUGUGACUAGCAGUAAUAUGUGACAUUGAUUGUGUGUGAAUUGAUUGAUUGUUGUGUGCUCUUGUUUAGUUGAGUUUUCUUUUGCUUUUUCUUUUUGAGCCCCGGUGUUACAUUAUUUUUCCCCUAUAAAGAGUUGCUCAUCAACUGACACCGGACUCGAAGUAGUAAUAAGGAUUUCAAAUAUUUGGAAGAAGCUCAGCUAAACAUUCUGGUCUACCCAGUCAACUGCAUUAUAGCAUUACUAUCUGCUCAGAACACCAAUGGUGUAUUGGAUUGACUAUCAGCAUCGAGUCAACAUCAGUGCCAAAUCCUCAUCGCAGUUAUGAUCCAGCCAGCAGAAAGACAAGUCAGUUAGAAGAUCAACGGUAUAUUUUCAGACAGAGGUAUGGAUCAUAUACAAAAUUUUGGCUCAGCAAUGCAUGAUGCUUGAAAUAUGUUAUCAUCCGAAAUAAAGUCAGAAUGUGAUAUGCUCAAGGAAGACAGUCAAACAAUUUUUCUCAUGCAAAUAAUCAGCCUCAGAAUAUUAUGGGCAUGUGUAUGGAUUUCAGUCUGCAUAUCAGUAUGAAGUUUUGGAUAUAAGAAACCCAGUAUUCUUCCACACACUGUCGGAAGAAAUUUAUGAUGUCAGGCUCCUCAAUUUUCCUCCGCAUGAUAUGUGAACAAUUUCCGGCCCACGAUACCCGGUCUUUCUCAGCAAGAUACCUCGGUAAAAGCUUCUGACAGACGGAAAUGGAUUUUUCUCAACAAGCAAACCCGAGGAGAAGCUUCUUAAGUACAGAACUCAGGCUUCUCCCGCACAAUAAUCAGACCCAGCUUCGUGUGUAAGCUAUAGAGCCUUCUUCUGCACGAUACCCAGACAAAAGAUUUGAGCAGAAGUUAACAAGUCUCCCUUAGCAAGCUACUCGGAUGGCUUCUCUCGUAAGCCAUCCAGUCCGUGUCAAUACCACAAUAUUGCACCAUCCUCAAAGAUUAUAUGAUGAGUUGCCAAUAUAUGGCAGCACCGCUCAAGAAUCAGACUCGCAACAUUUUUGUCGGAAGCACAAAUCAGCCAAACAUAUGCCUACCGCAAGGAUCGAUUGUUCGGUGGCAUAUGAUUCUUAUAUAUGGUGAGCAUGCAUCCCCAGUCAUAUCAGUCACUCAUACGAGAUGCACCAAGGAUCAAGCAGAUAUACCUAAGAAAGGUACGGAUCCAACAACCUCAUGAGUCAGGCAAAGGAAAAUAAGCAGAGAUACAUCUCAUGAAUUACAAGAAUUUUCAUAUCCCGCUGACCCGCUUGACAUGGUUAGUGUGGAAUAUCCAAGCCUGCUCUGUCCGACCCAAGAUUCCUUUGCAACCUCAGCAGUUUGACCUCAGCGGCGGUGUUAAAGCAUACCACAGUCUAUUACCACAGAUGGGUAUAUCGACCACAUGAGAAAAAUCAAAGGCCAAACAAUCAGCUCAGACCUGGUAUACUCACCGACGGAAUCAAGUACACGGUCAGUCUGUCAGGAAAGAAUUUGCCCGUUAGCCCCUGUCGGGCCAGUCUCAAGAUGUAAAUAUUUGAGGUAUGACACAACUAUAACUCCAUACACCGUUAUAUUGCUCACGCCUGAAGGCAGUCAAAUCUCUGGUAUAUGCCACAUGCUCGAGCCAAAGGAAUAAAUCAAAAUAAAUCAGUACCACCUAUGAGUAGUCCGAUCCCGUCAGGAGAAUGGCCAUGAUCCUCAGCAUUUAUUGAAACCAGAAGGCCUGCAUUUAUUUAAAGCAACCCCAUGACAGAAGUAAAAAGGUUUUCCUGACCAAAAGAAAAUGUAUGCUCAGAUCCAUGGGAUAUCACCACAGGUAUGGAGAAUCAACGUCAGUAAAAAGGAACUGGUAUAUGAGCAAAGACCUGUCAGAAUUUGGGAAAGGUGAAGCAAACCACCCCAGAGCAAGGUAAGUUGAUCAUCUGAAAUUCUCGGAGGAACAAUAAAUAAAGGAAAUGCAUACCCGAGUUGGAAAUGGUGUUCUCAAGUCAUACUUGUUCCCUGAGCAACCAAAUCUCGAGGACGAGAUUUCUUUAAGGGGGAAGGUUUGUAACAGCCUGGUUUUUGGCCCUUUUCUUUUUCUUUUGAUUUAUUUGGUUUUUGCUCUAUUUUUCUUUUUGGAGUGGUUCCGUGGCCUUGCCACCUGGAAAUCAUCCUCAUUCCCCCUCCCAAGUGGCUCAUCAUUCUCAAAACCUUGCCAAAGAUCAUGUCACUUCACUCCUUGACCAAACCCUAAAAUUCUUUUCUAGGGAAUAUUCCUUUUUCUAUUAAAGGAAUAACCCUAUCUGCCCUAGGUUGUGAAGCAACCUAUAUUUCUUUCCAUUCAAAAAUUCCCAAUUAAUUCUCAUAAUUCCUUUGGGUCAUAUGUUGAUCAAAUAUGCCCAAACUUUCCUGUCCUAGCCCAAGAAUAAUUCCCCAAUAAUUAUUCUUCAUUUCUGUUCUGAAUGGCACUUUGUGAAGUAAGUGUCAUUUAUAUUUUCCUAGUUGCUCCCAAACUCCCUGGGCAUUAUUUUAUGUCCAAAUAAUUGCUUCAUGCACAAGUUCAACUUUAUUUGCCUAGCCAAUCUUCCUCAGUGAUUUUUCAAAGUUUCUGUCAGACAGAAGGCUUUGUGAAGGAAGUACUAGAUAGGAGUAUCCAAAUGAGUUGAACUUUUGCACACUCCUUCAUGUGCUCAUAUUAACCCCCUCCACCAAUUUUCAGCCUCAUCCAAUCAUCUAAGUGAGCACAGGAGCAAAUCUUUGAUUCUGGCAAUAUUUCCAGGUUGUGAAGCAAGUGUAUUUUAUAUUGUUUCAAAAAGCCUGAUAAAUUACCAGAUCAUUCUUAUACCCAUAAAACAUCUCUCCACCCAAUUUGGCAUCAUUUAAAUGAUCCAUUUGAUCACCAAAAUUAUUCCAAGUUUCUGGACAGAAAUGAUGUUUGUGAAGCAACUACCAUUUGGCUUGUCCAUUUGGUAUGAGCUUUUUACAGCAUCUUUAUAUGUCCAUAUCAUGAGGAUUUGCCAAGUUGCAUCCCAUUCCAUAACACCAUG